Molecule: non-coding RNA, 73 nt
Organism: Henosepilachna vigintioctopunctata
Lineage: Eukaryota; Metazoa; Arthropoda; Insecta; Coleoptera; Coccinellidae
Source: the annotation of a GenBank genome assembly
AUCUCCGUGGCUUAGUCGGGAGAGCAGCCGACUAAGGUGCGAUAGGAUUCGGGUUCGAGCCCCGGUUAAGGUA